AACGAACGCUGGCGGCAGGCCUAACACAUGCAAGUCGAACGCUCGUAGCAAUACGAGAGUGGCAGACGGGUGAGUAACACGUGGGAACCUUCCCUAUGGUUCGGAAUAGCUCAGGGAAACUUGAGGUAAUACCGGAUAAGCCCUUACGGGGAAAGAUUUAUCGCCAUUGGAUGGGCCCGCGUCGGAUUAGCUAGUUGGUGAGGUAACGGCUCACCAAGGCGACGAUCCGUAGCUGGCUGAGAGGAUGAUCAGCCACACUGGGACUGAGACACGGCCCAGACUCCUACGGGAGGCAGCAGUGGGGAAUAUUGGACAAUGGGCGCAAGCCUGAUCCAGCCAUGCCGCGUGAGUGACGAAGGCCUUAGGGUUGUAAAGCUCUUUUGGCGGGGAAGAUAAUGACGGUACCCGCAGAAUAAGCUCCGGCUAACUUCGUGCCAG
RNAcentral lists this ribosomal RNA (438 nucleotides) under uncultured bacterium. Its description in RNAcentral is "bacterial SSU rRNA". It matches the Rfam family "Bacterial small subunit ribosomal RNA", at positions 29 to 511 of the family's 1533-position model. The record is from RNAcentral.